UUUAUGGAGAGUUUGAUCCUGGCUCAGAGUGAACGCUGGCGGCGUGCCUAAUACAUGCAAGUCGAACGAUGAAGCUUCUAGCUUGCUAGAGUGCUGAUUAGUGGCGCACGGGUGAGUAACGCAUAGGUCAUGUGCCUCUUAGUUUGGGAUAGCCAUUGGAAACGAUGAUUAAUACCAGAUACUCCCUACGGGGGAAAGAUUUAUCGCUAAGAGAUCAGCCUAUGUCCUAUCAGCUUGUUGGUAAGGUAAUGGCUUACCAAGGCUAUGACGGGUAUCCGGCCUGAGAGGGUGAACGGACACACUGGAACUGAGACACGGUCCAGACUCCUACGGGAGGCAGCAGUAGGGAAUAUUGCUCAAUGGGGGAAACCCUGAAGCAGCAACGCCGCGUGGAGGAUGAAGGUUUUAGGAUUGUAAACUCCUUUUGUUAGAGAAGAUAAUGACGGUAUCUAACGAAUAAGCACCGGCUAACUCCGUGCCAGCAGCCGCGGUAAUACGGAGGGUGCAAGCGUUACUCGGAAUCACUGGGCGUAAAGAGCGCGUAGGCGGGAUAGUCAGUCAGGUGUGAAAUCCUAUGGCUUAACCAUAGAACUGCAUUUGAAACUACUAUUCUAGAGUGUGGGAGAGGUAGGUGGAAUUCUUGGUGUAGGGGUAAAAUCCGUAGAGAUCAAGAGGAAUACUCAUUGCGAAGGCGACCUGCUGGAACAUUACUGACGCUGAUUGCACGAAAGCGUGGGGAGCAAACAGGAUUAGAUACCCUGGUAGUCCACGCCCUAAACGAUGGAUGCUAGUUGUUGGAGGGCUUAGUCUCUCCAGUAAUGCAGCUAACGCAUUAAGCAUCCCGCCUGGGGAGUACGGUCGCAAGAUUAAAACUCAAAGGAAUAGACGGGGACCCGCACAAGCGGUGGAGCAUGUGGUUUAAUUCGAAGAUACACGAAGAACCUUACCUAGGCUUGACAUUGAGAGAAUCCGCUAGAAAUAGUGGAGUGUCUAGCUUGCUAGACCUUGAAAACAGGUGCUGCACGGCUGUCGUCAGCUCGUGUCGUGAGAUGUUGGGUUAAGUCCCGCAACGAGCGCAACCCCCUUUCUUAGUUGCUAACAGGUUAUGCUGAGAACUCUAAGGAUACUGCCUCCGUAAGGAGGAGGAAGGUGGGGACGACGUCAAGUCAUCAUGGCCCUUACGCCUAGGGCUACACACGUGCUACAAUGGGGUGCACAAAGAGAAGCAAUACUGCGAAGUGGAGCCAAUCUUCAAAACACCUCUCAGUUCGGAUUGUAGGCUGCAACUCGCCUGCAUGAAGCUGGAAUCGCUAGUAAUCGCAAAUCAGCCAUGUUGCGGUGAAUACGUUCCCGGGUCUUGUACUCACCGCCCGUCACACCAUGGGAGUUGUGUUUGCCUUAAGUCAGGAUGCUAAAUUGGCUACUGCCCACGGCACACACAGCGACUGGGGUGAAGUCGUAACAAGGUAACCGUAGGUGAACCUGCGGUUGGAUCACCUCCUUUCUAGA
RNAcentral lists this ribosomal RNA (1509 nucleotides) under Helicobacter pylori. RNAcentral's name for it is "bacterial SSU rRNA". It matches the Rfam family "Bacterial small subunit ribosomal RNA". The record is from RNAcentral. Lineage: Bacteria; Pseudomonadati; Campylobacterota; Epsilonproteobacteria; Campylobacterales; Helicobacteraceae.